Molecule: non-coding RNA, 76 nt
Organism: Trichonephila inaurata madagascariensis
Lineage: Eukaryota; Metazoa; Arthropoda; Arachnida; Araneae; Nephilidae
Source: the annotation of a GenBank genome assembly
GGUUCCGUAGUGUAGUGGGAAGCUAUCACGUUCGCUUCACGCGAAAGGUCUCCGGUUCGAUCCCUGGACGGAACCA